ACUCGUCCAGGAUGAAAUAGGCCUUCUCAAAGUUGAAGAUGAUGUCGAGCUCGCACACCUGCCCCGGGGACGAGGCGGGCAUAAGUCGGCCCGGGAGCCAGCCCUGGACCCCCGCCAGGCUGCGGACCCAGGCGUCCUGGCGCUCACACUUUCCCCCUCCCUCCGCCGCCUGCGCUUGAGCCGGAUAAUCCCCAUUAGCGGCCUCGCUAAGCGGCUCCCGGUGGGAUUAAGGCAACCGAGUUAAUGGCCGGAGGGAUUAGCUGCGUUAAUGCGCCCCGAGGUGGCCCGCUGCCCGUGGCACGGCCUUGGUGGGUGGCCCUGGGGUGGCCGAGGGCCCCCGAUACGGUCUUGGGAGGUUCCAACGGGGCCCAGCACCUAUGGCAUAGCCCCAAGGUGGCUCAGGGGUGGCCUGGAGAUGGCCCAGCACCCAUAACACAGCUCCAAGGUGGCUCUGGGGUGGCCUGGAGGUGGCCCAGCACCCAUAACAUAGCCUCAAGGUGGUCUUAGGGUGGUUGAGCACCCACAACGUGGCCCUGGGGUGGUCCAGCAGCCAUGAGGUAACCCCAAGGUGUCCCUGGGGUGGCCUGGAGGUGGCCCAGCACCUAUAACUUAGUCCCAAGGAGGCUCUGGGGUGGCCCAGCACCCACAGUUUAGCUGUGGGGUGGCCCAGCAUCUGUGACAUAGCCCCAGGGUGGCUCUGGGGUGGCCCAGCACCCAUAGCAUAGCCCCAGGGUGGCUCUGUAGUGGUUCAGUACCCACAGCUUACCUGUGGGGUGGCUCUGGGGUGGCCCAGCACCCAUAACAGCCCCAAGGCGGCUGUGGGGUGGCCCAGCACCCACAGUUUAGCUGUGGGAUGGCUCUAGGGUGGCCCAGCAUAGCCCCGGGGUGGCCCCAGAGCUCCUGGCACAGCCCCGAGGUGGCUCUGGGGUGGUCCACCACGUCCAGUUCAGCCCUCGGGUGGCUCCGGGGUGGCCCAGCACCCACAGCACGGGCCUGGGGUGGCUCCGGGACCUGCAGCAGAGCCCUGGGGCCACCCCCAAACCCAUCCCCGCUCCCCCUCGGGU
This 1064-nucleotide long non-coding RNA is filed under the name Struthio camelus australis. RNAcentral describes it as "lncRNA (ENSSCUG00000004541.1)". Lineage: Eukaryota; Metazoa; Chordata; Aves; Struthioniformes; Struthionidae. The record is from RNAcentral.